RNAcentral lists this ribosomal RNA (429 nucleotides) under uncultured archaeon. Its description in RNAcentral is "bacterial SSU rRNA". It matches the Rfam family "Archaeal small subunit ribosomal RNA", at positions 474 to 903 of the family's 1478-position model. The record is from RNAcentral.
UACCUGCAGCUCGAGUGGUAACCGCUAUUAUUGGGCCUAAAGCGUCCGUAGCCGGUUUGGUAAAUAUCUGGGUAAAUCGUGAGGCUUAACCUCACGAAUUUCGGAUAGACUGCCAGACUUGGGAUCGGGGGAGGUCAGAGGUACUCCAGGGGUAGCGGUGAAAUGUUGUAAUCCUUGGAGGACCACCGGUAGCGAAGGCGUCUGACUAGAACGAGUCCGACGGUGAGGGACGAAGCCCUGGGGCGCAAAUCGGAUUAGAUACCCGGGUAGUCCAGGGUGUAAACGAUGUGGGCUUUGUAUUGGAGGUCCCACGUGGGCGUCCAGUGCAGAAGAGAAGUUGUUAAGCCCACCGCCUGGGAAGUACGGUCGCAAGGCUGAAACUUAAAGGAAUUGGCGGGGGAGCACAGCAACGGGAGGAGCGUGCGGUUU